Molecule: transfer RNA, 76 nt
Filed under: Idiocerus salicis
Lineage: Eukaryota; Metazoa; Arthropoda; Insecta; Hemiptera; Cicadellidae
Description: tRNA-Ile
Source: RNAcentral
AAAUAUAUAAUUAAUAAAUACUAAAUUGAUUUAUUAAUAAUAAAUCUACUCUCUACUAAAUAAGAGAGUAGAUUUA